UACGUAGGACCCAAGCGUUAUCCGGAAUUACUGGGCGUAAAGAGUUGCGUAGGCGGCUAAGUAAGCAAAGUGUGAAAGCGUGUGGCUCAACCAUACAUACAUGCCUUGAACUGCUUUAGCUAGAGAAUGGAAGAGGUAGCUGGAAUUCCUAGUGUAGGAGUGAAAUCCGUAGAUAUUAGGAGGAACACCGAUGGCGUAGGCAGGCUACUGGUCCAUUUCUGACGCUCAGGCACGAAAGCGUGGGGAGCGAACGGG
RNAcentral lists this ribosomal RNA (255 nucleotides) under uncultured bacterium. RNAcentral's name for it is "partial 16S ribosomal RNA". It matches the Rfam family "Bacterial small subunit ribosomal RNA", at positions 524 to 776 of the family's 1533-position model. The record is from RNAcentral.